CAGCUUCUUCGAUGUCAACGAAAUUCUGCACCAAUAAAAAUUAAAAAGUUUUUAAUAUUUUAUUAAUUGAAUCAUCAUUUAAAAUUAAGAAAAAUAUGAGUAUGAUAUUAGAUUUGACAUCAUUCCAUAUCCAGAGUCAUAUUCGGGGUGCAGGGAGAUCGCAGGAUCGAAUUGCACAGUAAUUUUUCACUGAAGAAUAUUUUUGAUAUUUUUAUCAAAAUUUUAUAUCUUUUACGUAGACAUGAUA
Molecule: long non-coding RNA, 247 nt
Filed under: Elaeis guineensis (African oil palm)
Lineage: Eukaryota; Viridiplantae; Streptophyta; Magnoliopsida; Arecales; Arecaceae
Description: long non-coding RNA (EGUI_LNC055057)
Source: RNAcentral